CCUACGGGAGACAGCAGUGAGGAAUAUUGGUCAAUGGACGAGAGUCUGAACCAGCCAAGUAGCGUGAAGGAUGACUGCCCUAUGGGUUGUAAACUUCUUUUAUAAAGGAAUAAAACGAGGCACGUGUGCCUUUUUGCAUGUACUUUAUGAAUAAGGAUCGGCUAACUCCGUGCCAGCAGCCGCGGUAAUACGGAGGAUCCGAGCGUUAUCCGGAUUUAUUGGGUUUAAAGGGAGCGUAGAUGGGUUGUUAAGUCAGUUGUGAAAGUUUGCGGCUCAACCGUAAAAUUGCAAUUGAUACUGGCAGUCUUGAGUACAGUAGAGGUAGGCGGAAUUCGUGGUGUAGCGGUGAAAUGCGUAGAUAUCACGAAGAACCCCGAUUGCGAAGGCAGCUUACUAAACUGUGACUGACAUUGAUGCUCGAAAGUGUGGGUAGCAAACAGGAUUAGAUACCCUAGUAGUC
RNAcentral lists this ribosomal RNA (460 nucleotides) under uncultured bacterium. Its description in RNAcentral is "partial 16S ribosomal RNA". It matches the Rfam family "Bacterial small subunit ribosomal RNA", at positions 338 to 795 of the family's 1533-position model. The record is from RNAcentral.